ACGGAAGGCAGCAGUGGGGAAUAUUGCACAAUGGGGGAAACCCUGAUGCAGCGACGCCGCGUGAGUGAAGAAGUAUUUCGGUAUGUAAAGCUCUAUCAGCAGGGAAGAAACAGGACGGUACCUGCAUAAGAAGCCCCGGCUAACUACGUGCCAGCAGCCGCGGUAAUACGUAGGGGGCAAGCGUUAUCCGGAUUUACUGGGUGUAAAGGGAGCGUAGACGGUUGUGCAAGUCUGAAGUGAAACUCCGCAGCUCAACUGCGGAACUGCUUUGGAAACUGUACGGCUUGAGUAUCGGAGGGGUAAGCGGAACUCCUAGUGUAGCGGUGAAAUGCGUAGAUAUUAGGAAGAACACCGGUGGCGAAGGCGGCUUACUGGACGAUAACUGACGUUGAGGCUCGAAGGCGUGGGGAGCAAACAGGAUUAGAUACCCUGGUA
This 435-nucleotide ribosomal RNA is filed under the name uncultured Lachnospiraceae bacterium. RNAcentral's name for it is "bacterial SSU rRNA". It matches the Rfam family "Bacterial small subunit ribosomal RNA", at positions 341 to 792 of the family's 1533-position model. RNAcentral also lists the same sequence under 1 other name. Lineage: Bacteria; Bacillati; Bacillota; Clostridia; Lachnospirales; Lachnospiraceae. The record is from RNAcentral.